UAGGGAAUCUUCCGCAAUGGACGCAAGUCUGACGGAGCAACGCCGCGUGAGUGAUGAAGGUUCUCGGAUCGUAAAGCUCUGUUGCCAGGGAAGAACGGCCAGGGGAGUAACUGCCCUUGGCAUGACGGUACCUGAGAAGAAAGCCCCGGCUAACUACGUGCCAGCAGCCGCGGUAAUACGUAGGGGGCAAGCGUUGUCCGGAAUUAUUGGGCGUAAAGCGCGCGCAGGCGGUGGAUUAAGUUUGGUGUUUAAGCCCGGGGCUCAACCCCGGAUCGCACUGAAAACUGGUACACUUGAGUGUAGGAGAGGAAAGUGGAAUUCCACGUGUAGCGGUGAAAUGCGUAGAGAUGUGGAGGAACACCAGUGGCGAAGGCGACUUUCUGGCCUAUAACUGACGCUGAGGCGCGAAAGCGUGGGGAGCAAACAG
RNAcentral lists this ribosomal RNA (427 nucleotides) under uncultured bacterium. RNAcentral describes it as "bacterial SSU rRNA". It matches the Rfam family "Bacterial small subunit ribosomal RNA", at positions 355 to 775 of the family's 1533-position model. The record is from RNAcentral.